GCUUUCUAAGGAAAUCAGGAUACGAGCCUUGUGUCACUGACAGGAGCUGGUGCAGGUUAAGAAGAAGAAUGAAAAUACAUUAAGCUUGCAGAGAAACCAUCCUUUCUGCAUGGAUGUGAGAGCUUUAGAGCAAGAACAGCUUAGGGGAGAUAAGCCCAGCUCUUAUUCCCAGCAAAAGGGAACUGGAGUUAAGAACAUUUUAUAAGAAUCAAUGUUAAACUAGGUAGGGGUUUACUUGGCCAUCAAGAGUGCAGUUUUCACUUGCGCUGAGAGGCCAUACUUAGGGCUCAGAUAGAAAGGAAUGUGCUUCUCUAGCACCCAAGGGAACUGAGAAAGAAAUUUAGCAGCUGCUUCAAAUCUUCUUAGUAGCAGUCAGGGUAUAUAGCUAAACUAACCAAACAAAUAAAUGGCUCUGGUUUUGGACUGGCAGUGGAAAGAAGUGAACUAGAAUGGAAACUGGAAACAAUUUAAAAGACAGCUCUGUAUGGGAACAUGAGUGAAAUGGCUUUAUGCAACACAUAUGCUUAUUUGCCUCCUUUGUACCUAAUUUGUACCUAACGAUCUGCUUGGACUAGAUAACCAGUUUAUACACCCUAAAUGGAUGACAGUGAAAUGGAUGUGGAGUGAAAGCACACACAUCCCAGGGGCAGAGUGUGAGCUCCUCACGGGACUAUCUGCGUCUUUGAUAAAGGUACCUAGGGACACAUAGGUAGCGUGAAUUUGUGCCUUAAAACAUAAGAGGACCUGCUUGUUGCAAGAAACUCUCAGGGAAACAUUCCCUACCCACCUGCGUCUAGCCAAAUCCAAGGCUAAACAGCUUUUAUAUACUGACAAAAAAAAUUGGAAAUCACCUGAAUGUUUGCCAGUUGGAAACUGGGUAAGUGCUUUUGACCUUAUCCAUGUGAUUGGGAUGCUAUGUAACCAUGAAAAGUGCUUUGGGGGCGUCCAGGAAAGAGUGAUGGAUUAACAGGUUUACAAAAAUCUCCUUCCAAUACUCACUGGAAUGAACAAAACAAGAUAUACCAAAGAAAGUAUCACCCAACAAAGAAUCUAGGGGAUUUUCACAAUCUCAUAUUUCAGACUUCAAGAAAUACAAAUCUAACUCCAAAACAAUUAAGCCUAAAUUGAUAUAAAAUUCUGGGAAUCAAUCCACAACUCCCUUUUUGGAGUGAGAAGAGGCAGAAUUUCUGAAAAUCCCACUAAAAAUAAUUCUCACUUUGUUAAGACAGGAAAUAGGGGCCUGAAUUGGCAAAAGAAAAGAU
Neofelis nebulosa (Clouded leopard) is the source of this 1262-nucleotide long non-coding RNA. RefSeq lists it as uncharacterized. The transcript is spliced from 3 exons. The record is from RefSeq and is a predicted model, not a curated record. NCBI's taxonomy places the organism in Eukaryota, Metazoa, Chordata, Mammalia, Carnivora, Felidae.